Molecule: ribosomal RNA, 521 nt
Filed under: uncultured bacterium
Lineage: Bacteria
Description: bacterial SSU rRNA
Rfam family: Bacterial small subunit ribosomal RNA
Source: RNAcentral
CCAGCGAACUUGGCAGAGAUGCCUUGGUGCCUUCGGGAGCGCUGAGACAGGUGCUGCAUGGCUGUCGUCAGCUCGUGUUGUGAAAUGUUGGGUUAAGUCCCGCAACGAGCGCAACCCUUAUCCUUUGUUGCCAGCGAUUCGGUCGGGAACUCAAAGGAGACUGCCGGUGAUAAACCGGAGGAAGGUGGGGAUGACGUCAAGUCAUCAUGGCCCUUACGAGUAGGGCUACACACGUGCUACAAUGGCGCAUACAAAGAGAAGCGACCUCGCGAGAGCAAGCGGACCUCAUAAAGUGCGUCGUAGUCCGGAUCGGAGUCUGCAACUCGACUCCGUGAAGUCGGAAUCGCUAGUAAUCGUGGAUCAGAAUGCCACGGUGAAUACGUUCCCGGGCCUUGUACACACCGCCCGUCACACCAUGGGAGUGGGUUGCAAAAGAAGUAGGUAGCUUAACCUCCGGGAGGGCGCUUACCACUUUGUGAUUCAUGACUGGGGUGAAGUCGUAACAAGGUAAGCGUAGUGCU